AUUGAACGCUGGCGGCAGGCCUAACACAUGCAAGUCGAGCGGAUGAAGGGAGCUUGCUCCUGGAUUCAGCGGCGGGCGGGUGAGUAAUGCCUAGGAAUCUGCCUGGUAGUGGGGGAUAACGUCCGGAAACGGGCGCUAAUACCGCAUACGUCCUGAGGGAGAAAGUGGGGGAUCUUCGGACCUCACGCUAUCAGAUGAGCCUAGGUCGGAUUAGCUAGUUGGUGGGGUAAAGGCCUACCAAGGCGACGAUCCGUAACUGGUCUGAGAGGAUGAUCAGUCACACUGGAACUGAGACACGGUCCAGACUCCUACGGGAGGCAGCAGUGGGGAAUAUUGGACAAUGGGCGAAAGCCUGAUCCAGCCAUGCCGCGUGUGUGAAGAAGGUCUUCGGAUUGUAAAGCACGUUAAGUUGGGAGGAAGGGCAGUAAGUUAAUACCUUGCUGUUUUGACGUUACCAACAGAAUAAGCACCGGCUAACUUCGUG
RNAcentral lists this ribosomal RNA (484 nucleotides) under uncultured bacterium. RNAcentral describes it as "partial 16S ribosomal RNA". It matches the Rfam family "Bacterial small subunit ribosomal RNA", at positions 30 to 507 of the family's 1533-position model. The record is from RNAcentral.